This 333-nucleotide ribosomal RNA is filed under the name uncultured bacterium. RNAcentral describes it as "bacterial SSU rRNA". It matches the Rfam family "Bacterial small subunit ribosomal RNA", at positions 15 to 339 of the family's 1533-position model. The record is from RNAcentral.
GAUCCUGGCUCAGACGAACGCUGGCGGCGCGCCUAAUACAUGCAAGUCGAGCGAGAAGGUGUAGCAAUACACUGGGUACAGCGGCGAACGGGUGAGGAAUACAUGGGUAACCUACCCUCGAGUGGGGAAUAACUAGCCGAAAGGUUAGCUAAUACCGCAUACGAUUCCCGGAUUGCGGUCCGGGAAAGAAAGCCAUCCCGUGGGGAUGGCGCUCCUGGAUGGGCUCAUGUCCUAUCAGCUUGUUGGUGAGGUAACGGCUCACCAAGGCUUCGACGGGUAGCUGGUCUGAGAGGACGAUCAGCCACACUGGCACUGCGACACGGGCCAGACUCC